GGGGGUGUAGCUCAGUAGUAGAGCACAGGCUUAGCAUGCAUGAGGCCCUGGGUUCGAUCCCCAGCACCUUCA
Molecule: non-coding RNA, 72 nt
Organism: Lepus europaeus (European hare)
Lineage: Eukaryota; Metazoa; Chordata; Mammalia; Lagomorpha; Leporidae
Source: the annotation of a RefSeq genome assembly